Molecule: long non-coding RNA, 658 nt
Filed under: Capra hircus (goat)
Lineage: Eukaryota; Metazoa; Chordata; Mammalia; Artiodactyla; Bovidae
Description: lncRNA (ENSCHIG00010026340.1)
Source: RNAcentral
AUGAUGUUUCAGCCCAAAUCAAAGAUCAUUUUCAAAUUUCAAGAUUUGCCUAAUCAAUUGCACCUUAGGGAAUCAAGCCCAAGAGGUUGGACAUAUUGCUUCUAAGGAAAGUGACUAUAUAUAUUAUCAAUUUACUAGGAUGUUUUUGAGAUGGGCACUGUAAAUAAUACCCCACAAUAAUAGAUAUAAACUAAAAGCCAUUCAAGGCAAGCCAGGAUGGUUGUCAUAGAUUUUUGUACCUUCAGAUUCUUGUAAGAUUUACUGGGCACCAAGUACAUGGCAGGUAUAAAUGAAUACACACACACACACAUACACACACACACACUAUUGUUAAUGCUUAGUUGCUAAGUUGUGCCUGAUUUUCCAGGCGAGAAUCCUGGAGUGGAUUGCCAUUUCUUUCUCCAGAGCAUCUUCCCAACCCAGGGAUCGAAUCCACAUCUCCUGCAUCUGCUGCACUGGCAGGGGAAUCUUUACCACUGUGCCACCUGGGAAGCCCAUAAAUAAUAUGUGUGUGUGUGUGUGUGUGUAUAUGUAUGUAUGUAUAUAUAACACAUCCUUAAAAGAUGAUGCAAAGACACAAAUUGAAUUCCAGUCUCCAAAGCCACAGAAGCACUCUUCAGAACAACGAUAUUACAGAAAUCCCAAAUCUGUUCCCUAG